Long non-coding RNA from Lynx canadensis (Canada lynx), 1229 nucleotides. The record is from Ensembl. Lineage: Eukaryota; Metazoa; Chordata; Mammalia; Carnivora; Felidae.
CAGACUGGUUUUUCUGGCCGGCAAGAGGCAGAGUCCUGCAAGCAGGACAUCCUUUCACAAACUGGAACGUGAGACUGGAAGUCACCGAAAGACCUUGAGGAAGAGAGAGAUGACGUGAAGGGUUUCGAAGGCUCUAUGGAGGCAGGCUUUCAGGGCUGGCUGGAAGACGUCUGCAUUUGCCCAGUUCAAUGAUGAAAGAUGAUAUGGUAGAUCCAGCUGUCAAACUGCUUGGACGGUCUUAGGCUCAGGGCAGGAAAUGAACGUGAAGGGAGGCACCAUUGCUCUGGAGAGCGGAAGAGAUUGCCGGAGAGGGGAGCUUCGAAUUUGGAAGGAAAAUAAAAGUGUCUGAUGGAGAAAGACUAAGUAGGGUUUGAGUAAGGAAAAAAACAAAUGAACAAACCAACAAAACAGAGCUCAGCGUCCUUAAUGGGAAGAAUAUAGCCUUACUGAAUAAGAUCAGAAACCUGCAAAAGAACAGGAUGAGACAAAAGCACAGAAGCAUUUGGUGACUAAAAAACAACAGGAUGCCAGGCAAAGCUAGUGAGCAGAGACAAGACAGAGCAGGCUGAGAUAAGGACCACUUCCAAGUAAAUUAAAUGUCCAAUAACAACAUCAAGAUCUUCUUGGGACGACUAAAUGGAACCACCAACAUUACAAAGACAAAACAAAACAAAACAAAACCCCCAAAUCAAUAGUAAGGAAAAUGCAGCAGACGCUGUUGUGAAAACAGCUACAGCAUGACACCAGGUUGUCUGCAAACAGAAGCCACCUUUCUUUCGGGUAGCCACACCUCUGAGAAGUAGCCUGACCCCCGUCUGAGGAAAAAUCUCUGUUAAUGAUAAUCUCAUUCUGUUCACCGUGAUUGGCUUAGAGGAGGACACGUGACUUAGUUAAAUGCGAUGAGACCUGCAGGCAGGUCGGCUGGGGGCUCCGUAGAGGAGUUUGCUCAGGAAGAUGACCGCACCCGGAAGACAGCUCUUCUUCUAGAAGAACAUUUUGCUGACUGACCAUCUGAAUUCCCACUGGUUGACUGACAACAUUUCAAAAUGGAGAACAGAUCACCAAGUCUCCUCCUCCUCCUGCUUUAUAGCAGAGAAGACUGAUCCAGAGAGUUUAGGAAGCUUGUGCAAGGUCACACAGCCAACGAUGGAGCCAAGCCUGGAUCACCAGAAGUCUCAUUUCCUCUUUGAGCCUCAAGUCUCAGCAGCCUACUUUGAGCUCUAUGACUC